GCAGCUUGGACUAGAUUUGGUUCCAAGGAAAGAGUUUGCUAUGGUUGAUCCAGAAGACAUUAGCGUUACUGAAUUAUAUAAAUUGAUGGAACACAGACAUCGGAAAAAAGACACUCCAGUUCCAGCUAGCAGUCACCACCUGUUUGUGCAAAUGAAGAGUUUAAUGUGCUCAAACCUGGGAGAGGAGCUAGAGGUGAUAUUCUCACUUUAUGAUGGCAAAGAAAAUCGACCAAUAAGGAGAAACAACUAGACGAUACUGAAAACCACUCUGCACUAUUGCUAUCAAUCAGGCUUUGAAAUAAAGUGAAAUCACAUGUACACACAACAUAU
Long non-coding RNA from Pseudophryne corroboree (corroboree frog), 330 nucleotides. RefSeq lists it as uncharacterized. The transcript has 3 exons. Lineage: Eukaryota; Metazoa; Chordata; Amphibia; Anura; Myobatrachidae. The record is from RefSeq and is a predicted model, not a curated record.